AAGAAGGAAGAGACAGACAGACAGAAAUCUCACAUCUCUGACUGGUUAACACCCAAAAUGCCUACAAUGGCUGGGACUAGCAGAACAAAGCCAGAAGCCAGAAACUCAGCUUUGCCUACCACGUUCUAGAGUGUGAAUUCGUAGGAAACUGGAAUUACAAUCAGAGCCAGGACUUGAACCUAGGCAUUGAUAUAGAAUGUGGAUGCCCCAGGAAGUGUCUUAAUUGCUAGGACAAAUAUGUGUUCCUUCACCUUCUUUAAGAGUUAUAUAUUUCUAUUUUCUUAUCUUUCUCUGAUGCCUAUUAUUGUUAGAUUUCUACAUACAAUAGUUGCUAUAUGGGCUUGCUUAAAAACAGUAAAGUUCUUGACAAAUGUUUGUUAAGUUCCUUAUUUUUGGAAUGUCUUUGUAUAAAAAUAUGACCAAAUUGUUACAAUGAGACAAUGAAACAAUUUGUUAUUCGUUUUGGCAUGUUAUUAUAGAAUUACUGCUCCAAGCUGAAAUAUGCAAUUAUGUUAAGGAAGUAUUUUCUGCAAGGAAAAUAACAGUAGCUUGCCCAUACUGAAUAUUUUACAGUAAAAACAAAGUAACACUACAUCAAGAAAAAGGUGAUAAAGUUUGUGUCAUGCACAACUGAAUUCAAAUUUGCCUGGAAAAUUUAAAAUGGAAUCUGACCAGAAAAAGAGGUGACAUGAAUGACAUUGAUUCUGAAAGAAAAAUGACAGCUGUGAACCCCAGAUGUGUGCUGAGGAACUGCAUGGCUGAGUCUGCUUUGCAAAAAGAAGAAAGGAAUGAUUUUUCAGAGCUCUGUCUCCCACAGCAAGUUCUCCAGUGCCCAUUCCAGACGCAGUCUGCAGCUGAGAAAAUGAAUCCUGCCCAAGAGAAAGAUUUCAUCUCUAACUCAUUCAGCAGCAGGAAGCCCGGGAACCGAGGUAGAAUGAUUCUGAUUUGCAGGAGCAGAGCAGGGGGCUCUGAAAGUUUUCUCAGGCUCCACACAGGAACACUUCAAAGUACAGAAUCUUUACAAAAGAGCUUUUUAUAGCUGCAAGGGCUCAGACUUCAAAGAGACAUUUUUCUCAUCCCGUGGGAAAAGAAGAUACAGAAAUUGAGAACCGGCAGGACUUUUCUGGUCACACUCAUAUGUCUCCUAGACAGUUUAAUUCCUGAUGCUCAGCUUAAUUUAAAGAUAUAAAUAAAAUAGCGCUUAGAAGAUUAUUUCUGGGGACC
RNAcentral lists this long non-coding RNA (1224 nucleotides) under Oryctolagus cuniculus (rabbit). RNAcentral describes it as "lncRNA (ENSOCUG00000032448.1)". Lineage: Eukaryota; Metazoa; Chordata; Mammalia; Lagomorpha; Leporidae. The record is from RNAcentral.